This 497-nucleotide ribosomal RNA is filed under the name uncultured bacterium. Its description in RNAcentral is "partial 16S ribosomal RNA". It matches the Rfam family "Bacterial small subunit ribosomal RNA", at positions 28 to 507 of the family's 1533-position model. The record is from RNAcentral.
GACGAACGCUGGCGGCGUGCCUAAUACAUGCAAGUUGAGCGAUGAAGAUUGGUGCUUGCACCAAUUUGAAGAGCAGCGAACGGGUGAGUAACGCGUGGGGAAUCUGCCUUUGAGCGGGGGACAACAUUUGGAAACGAAUGCUAAUACCGCAUAACAACUUUAAACAUAAGUUUUAAGUUUGAAAGAUGCAAUUGCAUCACUCAAAGAUGAUCCCGCGUUGUAUUAGCUAGUUGGUGAGGUAAAGGCUCACCAAGGCGAUGAUACAUAGCCGACCUGAGAGGGUGAUCGGCCAAAUUGGGACUGAGACAAGGCCCAAAAUCCUACGGGAGGCAGCAGUAGGGAAUCUUCGGAAAUAGACGAAAGUCUGACCGAGCAACGCCGCGUGAGUGAAGAAGGGUCUCGGAUCGUAAAACUCUGUUGGUAGAGAAGAACGUUGGUGAGAGUGGAAAGCUCAUCAAGUGACGGUAACUACACAGAAAGGGACGGCUAACUACGUG